RNAcentral lists this ribosomal RNA (501 nucleotides) under uncultured bacterium. RNAcentral describes it as "partial 16S ribosomal RNA". It matches the Rfam family "Bacterial small subunit ribosomal RNA", at positions 30 to 523 of the family's 1533-position model. The record is from RNAcentral.
AUUGAACGCUGGCGGCAGGCUUAACACAUGCAAGUCGAGCGGAGAUGAGGUGCUUGCACCUUAUCUUAGCGGCGGACGGGUGAGUAAUGCUUAGGAAUCUGCCUAUUAGUGGGGGACAACAUUCCGAAAGGAAUGCUAAUACCGCAUACGUCCUACGGGAGAAAGCAGGGGAUCUUCGGACCUUGCGCUAAUAGAUGAGCCUAAGUCGGAUUAGCUAGUUGGUGGGGUAAAGGCCUACCAAGGCGACGAUCUGUAGCGGGUCUGAGAGGAUGAUCCGCCAGACUGGGACUGAGACACGGCCCAGACUCCUACGGGAGGCAGCAGUGGGGAAUAUUGGACAAUGGGGGAAACCCUGAUCCAGCCAUGCCGCGUGUGUGAAGAAGGCCUUAUGGUUGUAAAGCACUUUAAGCGAGGAGGAGGCUACUGAGACUAAUACUCUUGGAUAGUGGACGUUACUCGCAGAAUAAGCACCGGCUAACUCUGUGCCAGCCGCCGCAGUAG